This 192-nucleotide ribosomal RNA is filed under the name uncultured fungus. RNAcentral describes it as "partial 5.8S ribosomal RNA". The record is from RNAcentral. Lineage: Eukaryota; Fungi.
AACUUUCAAACAAACCGAAUCUCUGGGGCUCUCGCAUUCGAAUGAAAGAAACGCAGGCGAAAAUGCGANACCGUAAAUGUGAAUUUGCAGGAAUUUCAGGUGAAUUCAUCAAAUUCCUUUGAACCGCAUUAUUGCGCCUCCUUGGGUAUUUCCGAAAGAGCCAUGCCCUGUUUUUGAGUAUUCGGUUAAAAC